RNAcentral lists this transfer RNA (75 nucleotides) under Methylacidiphilum infernorum V4. RNAcentral's name for it is "tRNA-Glu (TTC) (tRNA-Glu-TTC-1-1)". It matches the Rfam family "tRNA". From Rfam's summary of the family: Transfer RNA (tRNA) molecules are approximately 80 nucleotides in length. Their secondary structure includes four short double-helical elements and three loops (D, anti-codon, and T loops). Further hydrogen bonds mediate the characteristic L-shaped molecular structure. tRNAs have two regions of fundamental functional importance: the anti-codon, which is responsible for specific mRNA codon recognition, and the 3' end, to which the tRNAs corresponding amino acid is attached (by aminoacyl-tRNA synthetases). tRNAs cope with the degeneracy of the genetic code in two manners: having more than one tRNA (with a specific anti-codon) for a particular amino acid; and 'wobble' base-pairing, i.e. permitting non-standard base-pairing at the 3rd anti-codon position. RNAcentral also lists the same sequence under 3 other names. Lineage: Bacteria; Pseudomonadati; Verrucomicrobiota; Methylacidiphilae; Methylacidiphilales; Methylacidiphilaceae. The record is from RNAcentral.
GACCCCAUGGUGUAGUGGUCAGCACUCCACCCUUUCACGGUGGCAGCACGGGUUCGAAUCCCGUUGGGGUCGCCA